AGCGACCUACUUCACAGGAUCAGUGCAUUAGGUUGUUAACUGCGUUACAGUCUGGAACUGUGCGAAUGCACCAAACCUCGAUGACGAGACGUAGCGAUCCCUUCUGAGCGCGAAGCCGUGCGGUUCAGCUUUACGGCUGCCGCCAUUGAUGAACGUUCCUCAUCUCCUUGACUACGCGUUGGUCGGAGAGAAGGAGGAAGGGAUCGCAGUCCGAGCGGU
This 219-nucleotide small nucleolar RNA is filed under the name Ramazzottius varieornatus. Its description in RNAcentral is "Small nucleolar RNA U3". It matches the Rfam family "Small nucleolar RNA U3". Rfam says of the family: Small nucleolar RNAs (snoRNAs) are involved in the processing and modification of rRNA in the nucleolus. There are two main classes of snoRNAs: the box C/D class, and the box H/ACA class. Lineage: Eukaryota; Metazoa; Tardigrada; Eutardigrada; Parachela; Ramazzottiidae. The record is from Rfam by way of RNAcentral.